RNAcentral lists this ribosomal RNA (253 nucleotides) under uncultured bacterium. Its description in RNAcentral is "partial 16S ribosomal RNA". It matches the Rfam family "Bacterial small subunit ribosomal RNA", at positions 524 to 776 of the family's 1533-position model. The record is from RNAcentral.
UACGUAGGGUGCGAGCGUUGUCCGGAAUUAUUGGGCGUAAAGAGCUCGUAGGCGGUUUGUUGCGUCGGCCGUGAAAACCUGCAGCUUAACUGUGGGCCUGCGGCCGAUACGGGCAGACUAGAGUUCGGCAGGGGAGACUGGAAUUCCUGGUGUAGCGGUGAAAUGCGCAGAUAUCAGGAGGAACACCGGUGGCGAAGGCGGGUCCCUGGGCCGAUACUGACGCUGAGGAGCGAAAGCGUGGGGAGCGAACAGG